AGCCGAGACAUGGCUGAUCAGCAAUUGGCUGACUUUUAUAGCUCUCAUCUCCCACCUAAAUCACACUUAAUACCCUCUUAACACCAACCCAUUUCCUUAAUUCCCGAGACAUGUGAAUUCUUUAAUAACCAAACCUCCACAACCAUUAUACAAAUCCUGUUCUUCCACCCUCUCUGUUCUUAUAUGUGUGCGACACCAAGGGACCAUCAACUUGUUUGCCAUCUCUUUCUACUCCCAAACAGUUAGCAAACCACCGGAGUUGGAGGUCUCGCCGGAAAAUAUCACGUGUUAUCGACCACUGUGAAGAUCGGAAAACCCGUACACAACCUCAACGCCCUCUCUGUUUCGAUAACCAGCUGUCAGGGAAACCGAAACACACCGGAGUUUCGUCGGAAGAACUAGUCGGAGAUCCACUCACGUCGUAUUCGAAUUAUAGCACAUCGAAAACACCGUCGGAGAAUAACCGAAGCCACCGGAGCCGCACGGGAUCGACUGCAACUCGUUCCUUCCUCGUUUUCGUUCACCGAGCACGUCGCCGGAGUUCGAAACUUGCUGGAGAUUGGAGUUCCACCGGAGCCGUACAGAGAUCGACGGGAAUCCUUUUUAUGUUUCGGAUAACCAUUACGUUCGUUCUCUUGGAUUCACAAUACUUACUCGUGUGUUGUUUCAAGAAUUCUCACACGCAACCAAUGUUAAUUGAUGAAGUGAUGUUACAAGAUGAAACAAGAUUUAGGGUGGACUAGAUACACACCUAGAUUAAUCUAUCUUUUGUUGUUAUAUUACAAUUUGAAACAAUGUUGUUAUUGUUAUUUGAAUCUUGUAUGACAAUUACUCUUGAAAUGAAAUUUGAAUUAAAUUAAUAUUGUCACAUAGUGUUAUGAAGUCUCUUGCAAUCUACGCACUUCGUCUCAUCCCGAUAUUUCCACCAUCGGUUGGGGUGUGACAGAUUGGUAUCAGAGCCAUAACUAGAGGGAAUUAGGAAAAGUAGGAAUGCUUUAACCUAGUCUAUAGUUUUAGAGCUUUAUUCGUAUGUUUUGCUUGAAACUACUUGCAUGCUACUUUAUUUGCUUGUAUUUAUUCUCUUUUGAUCUUUUAAGCAUGAUUUGUCACUUGUGUGCUAACACUUGACAUGCUAUACUUGUUUUAUUAUGUGUUAAUAUUUGUUUCAUUGUUCUCUCAUUUAUGUGUUAUUCGUGACAUACUUUUUAUGAGUUAAGAAUUGUUUCAUUAUUCAAUUCUUUAUGUGCUAUUCUUGACAUGUUUAUACUUGUUCGUCUAAUCCUUAACAUACACUUUUCCUCAUACAUUUUACUCGAUUAUUCUAAAUUCGACAACACUCAUAUUAUACAAACGAGACGAGUUUACCAAAAAAAAACGUGAAACACACAAUUUGGUAAACGACUCUCAUCUCACUUGAUUCUAUUUAUGCACGGAAUUCACCAUUAAGUUAGGAGUGAAAUCCACAUCUUAAUGGAAAUUUCAAAUGCAAAUUCUUGUGGACCCUCGUCAACGUGUCGAAAUUUAAUUUGACCCAACGAGUGCCAACUACACUUAGGGUACGAAGUCGUCAAGUUAGGGGUGAAACCCGCACCUUGUCGACGAGUCCCACUCCUUGAUUUUCAUGAAUCCCGCCAAGUCUCGAAUUUUCGAUUGAAUUGGAACGUGUAGUAACCGGAAGGGUAAAUACCGUUAACCGACAUGUCAGCGAGAGUAUUUCACCUAUUAGGCCAAAGCAUGUUCUCAAUUUCAAAAUACCUUUCGACCACUUUGGUUAGUCAACGUUCCGUUCAGGAACCAUCCAAGUUUCAUUUUAUCAAACUUACGCUUUAUUAAUUUUCGAUUUUUUUUUGAUAAAAAAUCUCUCUUGUCAAUUUUGAACCAUUUUUGAGAUUUCACUUUUGCGCAUACACCAUACUAAUAAUUUUCAUACGAUUAUACAUUACUAGCAUGCAUAAUCCCAUGUAAUUUUAUUUACACUUUUGCAACAACGAGUGGAGACAUAUCAUCAAGAUGGGGGUGAUUUCCUUACCUUGACGAUUAACUCCGCUUCUUUCUCAUCAUACAACGACCUCACCAACGGAUUAGGGGUGAUUCCCUUACCUAGGUGAUCGUUACCAAUAGUUUCUUUUAAUAGACUAUAUUAUGUAAACACGAUCAUGUUUAUAUUUAAAUUGUUUAUCAUUACAAACCUCUACUUAUUUCAAAACGCAUUGGUUAUAUAAACGAAUUUCUUAUUCCACGAUCUAUUUACAUACCGCUAACAUACACAAAAUACUUAGCUUUUACCAUAAAUGCUUAUUCCCUGAUAUUCAAAAUUUCACGAAUGCUACUCAUCGACUUAAUCGGUCCAACAAAACCAUUGCCCACGAAAUUUUGUAUUCAAUGUAAUUAUUAAAACACGCUCCUCUCACACAAUUAAACUAUAGAUUUUUAUUUUCAAUUGAGAAUCAAACCAACUUUUUCGCACACACCAAAAAAAAAUUACAAAUAUUGUUCCAUCAUUCACUAAAACUCCUUUUCAAAACCAAUAAAAUAUUUUUUUCAACAAUC
Molecule: long non-coding RNA, 2550 nt
Organism: Helianthus annuus (common sunflower)
Lineage: Eukaryota; Viridiplantae; Streptophyta; Magnoliopsida; Asterales; Asteraceae
Exons: 3
Source: RefSeq, a predicted model, not a curated record